Molecule: ribosomal RNA, 1401 nt
Filed under: uncultured bacterium
Lineage: Bacteria
Description: bacterial SSU rRNA
Rfam family: Bacterial small subunit ribosomal RNA
Source: RNAcentral
AGAGUUUGAUCCUGGCUCAGAUUACUUGCUGGCGGCAGGCCUAACACAUGCAAGUCGAACGGUAACAGGAAGAAGCUUGCUUCUUUGCUGACGAGUGGCGGACGGGUGAGUAAUGUCUGGGAAACUGCCUGAUGGAGGGGGAUAACUACUGGAAACGGUAGCUAAUACCGCAUAACGUCGCAAGACCAAAGAGGGGGACCUUCGGGCCUCUUGCCAUCGGAUGUGCCCAGAUGGGAUUAGCUAGUAGGUGGGGUAACGGCUCACCUAGGCGACGAUCCCUAGCUGGUCUGAGAGGAUGACCAGCCACACUGGAACUGAGACACGGUCCAGACUCCUACGGGAGGCAGCAGUGGGGAAUAUUGCACAAUGGGCGCAAGCCUGAUGCAGCCAUGCCGCGUGUAUGAAGAAGGCCUUCGGGUUGUAAAGUACUUUCAGCGGGGAGGAAGGGAGUAAAGUUAAUACCUUUACUCAUUGACGUUACCCGCAGAAGAAGCACCGGCUAACUCCGUGCCAGCAGCCGCGGUAAUACGGAGGGUGCAAGCGUUAAUCGGAAUUACUGGGCGUAAAGCGCACGCAGGCGGUUUGUUAAGUCAGAUGUGAAAUCCCCGGGCUCAACCUGGGAACUGCAUCUGAUACUGGCAAGCUUGAGUCUCGUAGAGGGGGGUAGAAUUCCAGGUGUAGCGGUGAAAUGCGUAGAGAUCUGGAGGAAUACCGGUGGCGAAGGCGGCCCCCUGGACGAAGACUGACGCUCAGGUGCGAAAGCGUGGGGAGCAAACAGGAUUAGAUACCCUGGUAGUCCACGCCGUAAACGAUGUCGACUUGGAGGUUGUGCCCUUGAGGCGUGGCUUCCGGAGCUAACGCGUUAAGUCGACCGCCUGGGGAGUACGGCCGCAAGGUUAAAACUCAAAUGAAUUGACGGGGGCCCGCACAAGCGGUGGAGCAUGUGGUUUAAUUCGAUGCAACGCGAAGAACCUUACCUGGUCUUGACAUCCACGGAGGUUUUCAGAGAUGAGAAUGUGCCUUCGGGAACCGUGAGACAGGUGCUGCAUGGCUGUCGUCAGCUCGUGUUGUGAAAUGUUGGGUUAAGUCCCGCAACGAGCGCAACCCUUAUCCUUUGUUGCCAGCGGUCCGGCCGGGAACUCAAAGGAGACUGCCAGUGAUAAACUGGAGGAAGGUGGGGAUGAUGUCAAGUCAUCAUGGCCCUUACGACCAGGGCUACACACGUGCUACAAUGGCGCAUACAAAGAGAAGCGACCUCGCGAGAGCAAGCGGACCUCAUAAAGUGCGUCGUAGUCCGGAUUGGAGUCUGCAACUCGACUCCAUGAAGUCGGAAUCGCUAGUAAUCGUGGAUCAGAAUGCCACGGUGAAUACGUUCCCGGGCCUUGCACUCACCGCCCGUCA